AAUGGACUCAAAUCAGGUAGGAUUACCCGCUGAACUUAAGCAUAUCAGUAAGCGGAGGAAAAGAAACUAA
RNAcentral lists this ribosomal RNA (70 nucleotides) under Halicephalobus gingivalis. RNAcentral's name for it is "partial 28S ribosomal RNA". It matches the Rfam family "Eukaryotic large subunit ribosomal RNA", at positions 1 to 68 of the family's 3401-position model. The record is from RNAcentral. Lineage: Eukaryota; Metazoa; Nematoda; Chromadorea; Rhabditida; Panagrolaimidae.